This 460-nucleotide ribosomal RNA is filed under the name uncultured bacterium. RNAcentral describes it as "partial 16S ribosomal RNA". It matches the Rfam family "Bacterial small subunit ribosomal RNA", at positions 338 to 795 of the family's 1533-position model. The record is from RNAcentral.
CCUACGGGAGGCUGCAGUGAGGAAUAUUGGUCAAUGGGCUUACGCCUGAACCAGCCAAGUCGCGUGAGGGAAGACUGCCCUAUGGGUUGUAAACCUCUUUUGUCAGGGAGCAAUUGGCGCUACGUGUAGCGUUAUCGAGAGUACCUGAAGAAAAGCAUCGGCUAACUCCGUGCCAGCAGCCGCGGUAAUACGGAGGAUGCGAGCGUUAUCCGGAUUUAUUGGGUUUAAAGGGUGCGUAGGCGGAAUGCCAAGUCAGCGGUAAAAUCGCGGGGCUCAACCAUAGAAUUGCCGUUGAAACUGGGGGGCUUGAGUAUGUUUGAGGCAGGCGGAAUGCGUGGUGUAGCGGUGAAAUGCUUAGAUAUCACGCAGAACCCCGAUUGCGAAGGCAGCCUGCCAAGCCAUGACUGACGCUGAUGCACGAAAGCGUGGGGAUCAAACAGGAUUAGAUACCCUAGUAGUC